This 253-nucleotide ribosomal RNA is filed under the name uncultured bacterium. RNAcentral's name for it is "partial 16S ribosomal RNA". It matches the Rfam family "Bacterial small subunit ribosomal RNA", at positions 524 to 776 of the family's 1533-position model. The record is from RNAcentral.
UACGUAGGGUGCGAGCGUUGUCCGGAAUUACUGGGCGUAAAGAGCUCGUAGGUGGUUUGUCGCGUUGUUCGUGAAAACCGGGGGCUUAACCCUCGGCGUGCGGGCGAUACGGGCAGACUUGAGUACUGCAGGGGAGACUGGAAUUCCUGGUGUAGCGGUGGAAUGCGCAGAUAUCAGGAGGAACACCGGUGGCGAAGGCGGCUACCUGGACGGGUACUGACGCUGAGGCGCGAAAGCUAGGGGAGCAAACAGG